GACGAACGCUGGCGGCGUGCUUAACACAUGCAAGUCGAACGGAAAGGCUCUGCUUGCAGGGUACUCGAGUGGGGAACGGGUGAGUAACACGUGGGUGAUCUGCCCCGCACUUCGGGAUAAGCCUGGGCAACUGGGUCUACUACCGGAUAGGAGCCAUUUAUCGUGUGAUGGUUGGAAAGCUUUUUCGGUGUAGGAUGAGAUCGCGGCCGAUUAGCAUGUUGGUGGGGCAAUGGCAUACCAAGGCGGCGUCGGGUAGCCGGCCUGGGAGGGUGGACGGCCACAUUGGGACUGGGAUACGGCCCAGACUCCUACGGGAGGCAGCAGUGGGGAAUAUUGCACAAUGGGCGCAAGCCUGAUGCAGCGACGCCGCGGGGGGGAUGACGGCCUUCGGGUUGUAAACUCCUUUCGCUAGGGACGAAGCUUUUUGUGACGGUACCUAGAUAAGAAGCACCGGCUAACUACGUG
Molecule: ribosomal RNA, 465 nt
Filed under: uncultured bacterium
Lineage: Bacteria
Description: partial 16S ribosomal RNA
Rfam family: Bacterial small subunit ribosomal RNA
Source: RNAcentral